AUUGAACGCUAGCGGGAUGCCUUACACAUGCAAGUCGAACGGCAGCACGGACUUCGGUCUGGUGGCGAGUGGCGAACGGGUGAGUAAUGUAUCGGAACGUGCCUAGUAGCGGGGGAUAACUACGCGAAAGCGUAGCUAAUACCGCAUACGCCCUACGGGGGAAAGCAGGGGAUCGCAAGACCUUGCACUAUUAGAGCGGCCGAUAUCGGAUUAGCUAGUUGGUGGGGUAACGGCUCACCAAGGCGACGAUCCGUAGCUGGUUUGAGAGGACGACCAGCCACACUGGGACUGAGACACGGCCCAGACUCCUACGGGAGGCAGCAGUGGGGAAUUUUGGACAAUGGGGGAAACCCUGAUCCAGCCAUCCCGCGUGUGCGAUGAAGGCCUUCGGGUUGUAAAGCACUUUUGGCAGGAAAGAAACGUCAUGGGCUAAUACCCCGUGAAACUG
This 448-nucleotide ribosomal RNA is filed under the name Alcaligenaceae bacterium BTRH7. RNAcentral describes it as "bacterial SSU rRNA". It matches the Rfam family "Bacterial small subunit ribosomal RNA", at positions 30 to 475 of the family's 1533-position model. Lineage: Bacteria; Pseudomonadati; Pseudomonadota; Betaproteobacteria; Burkholderiales; Alcaligenaceae. The record is from RNAcentral.